This is a non-coding RNA of Pelobates cultripes (western spadefoot toad), 341 nucleotides long. The record is from the annotation of a GenBank genome assembly. NCBI's taxonomy places the organism in Eukaryota, Metazoa, Chordata, Amphibia, Anura, Pelobatidae.
AGGAAAGAGAACAAUAUAGGACCCCACUACCACCAAAGAGAUCCAUUCCUACAUAUAACAGGUAUGAACCAUUAAAAAGAAAUGAUAAUGGAAACUUUGACCCUUUUUUAGAGAGAGGCCAAAGAGACAGACGUUUGACAAAUCCAUUUCCACAGAAAAGAAGAUACAGGGAGUAUGAGGAGGGGGAAAUAGGAGAAUUGGAAGAAAUGGAAAUGAGAGAAAUGAGGAGGCCUGAAGGAAAAAAAAAGUGCAGAUAAAGAUUUUUAAUUUAUCAGAUAAAAUUUUAGAUGAAAAUCAUAAAAAAGUUUUAAGUAAAGGUUUUAAGUUUGCUCCUAGCUGUC